Molecule: long non-coding RNA, 268 nt
Filed under: Mytilus galloprovincialis (Mediterranean mussel)
Lineage: Eukaryota; Metazoa; Mollusca; Bivalvia; Mytilida; Mytilidae
Source: RNAcentral
GCGCCGUAUCUGCUUCCUUGUGUUGUUUGAAAUAUAACAAACGAAGAAAUCUCAACUUUGUCUGAGACAUACGAAACUGACCUGGCAUGUAAUUUUGACGAAUUCAAUUGGGAGGUCGCUCGAUGGCGAACACGUACGCUGAUUUAUAUCACCUCGCGAGUGCUACCGUGGAGAUAUAUCAAGGUACUACGUCUGUUGAAAACAAAUGUACGGUCAACAAUGAACAACGACAGGUUAUCAUCGCUAGCAUUACUGCAUAUUCAUCGGG